This 265-nucleotide ribosomal RNA is filed under the name uncultured bacterium. RNAcentral's name for it is "partial 16S ribosomal RNA". It matches the Rfam family "Bacterial small subunit ribosomal RNA", at positions 57 to 305 of the family's 1533-position model. The record is from RNAcentral.
GCAAGUCGAGCGCGAGCGAUUCCUUCGGGGAUCUAGUAGAGCGGCGAACGGGUGAGUAACGCGUGGGUAACCUGCCCUUUGGUGGGGAAUAACUCCGGGAAACUGGGGCUAAUGCCGCAUCAGCUCUUUGUCCCUGCGGGGACUUAGUGGGAAGCAUGCCUCUGCUUCAAGCAUGCGCCAGAGGAGUGGCCCGGGUCCCAUUAGCUUGUUGGUGGGGUAAUGGCCUACCAAGGCGACGAUGGGUAGCCGGCCUGAGAGGGUGUCC